GUGAUUUUGGGAGAAGAGCGAUGCAGAAAUCGCACUUUUCAUGUUCUGCUGCAGUGCUCUCGCUCAGGCGAGAGCUGAACAGAAGCAUUGGCUUCAAUGGCGCUCAAGCGAGAGCGCCUCGCCCAAGCGAAAUCUCGCUCGGGCGACAUAAGGCUAGCUCAAGCGAGAAGGAAACAGAGGCAAAUUGCCUUCAAUUGGGCUCAAGCGAGAUUCGGC
Molecule: long non-coding RNA, 216 nt
Filed under: Lupinus angustifolius (narrow-leaved blue lupine)
Lineage: Eukaryota; Viridiplantae; Streptophyta; Magnoliopsida; Fabales; Fabaceae
Description: long non-coding RNA (LANG_LNC002199)
Source: RNAcentral